CCUGACGCAGCAACGCCGCGUGGAGGAUGAAGGCCUUCGGGUUGUAAACUGCUUUCCACCGGGACGAUAAUGACGGUACCCGUGGAAGAAGCCCCGGCUAACUUCGUGCCAGCAGCCCCGGUAAUA
This 126-nucleotide ribosomal RNA is filed under the name uncultured Acidobacteriota bacterium. Its description in RNAcentral is "uncultured Acidobacteria bacterium partial 16S ribosomal RNA". It matches the Rfam family "Bacterial small subunit ribosomal RNA", at positions 382 to 525 of the family's 1533-position model. The record is from RNAcentral. Lineage: Bacteria; Pseudomonadati; Acidobacteriota.